Molecule: small RNA, 1537 nt
Filed under: Arabidopsis thaliana (thale cress)
Lineage: Eukaryota; Viridiplantae; Streptophyta; Magnoliopsida; Brassicales; Brassicaceae
Description: ATSL161140
Source: RNAcentral
UUUUUGGCAGAAAAUUACGGGUUUACGUUUUAACGGAAAAAUUGCAAGUUUCAUUUUUGGCAAGAAAAUUACUGGUUACUUUUAUGGCAGAAAAAUUAAGAGUUUCUGUUUAUGGCAGGAAAAUUAUGAUAAUGUUAUGUCAUGACUAUGAUAUGUUGAUAUGAUGAUAAUAAAGAUAGUAUGAUGAUGAUGGGGAUGGUAGUAUGAUGUUAUGAGAGGGUAAUGAUGAUGAUGAUGAUAUUGUGUUGAUAAUGAAUAAAUUGAUGGGUUGAUGAAGUCAUUUGGAAAAAAAUUGAUUAUAUUCCAGGGAGAUUUGCAAAACUACCCUUUUUUUACUACCUUUUUGCAACAAUACCCUUUUAUAUUAUUCAUUUUUAAAAAUAUCCCUUUCCUUGAACAGAAUAACCAAAUUACCCUCAUUUAAUAAGAACAUGUACUUGGAAACUUUCAGUUUCCCGCCAAAUUUUUGGCGCCAAAAUUUAUUUUUCCCGCCAAAAAAAAAUUUUCCGCCAAACUUUUUUUCCCGCCAAAAUUUUUUCUCGUAAAUUUUUUUUCCCAGCCAAAAAAAUGCUUUUAAAAAUCCUUGCAAAUUUUUUAAGAACUCUUUUAAAAAUCCUUGCAAAUUUUUUAAGAACUCUUUUAAAAAACCUUGUAAAGUUUUCUAAAAGCUUUGGUAGUUGCUAAAAACCAUUGUAAAUCAUUUUAAAACCUCUUAAAAUCUUUAUAAAGUCUUUACAAACAUAGGUAAAUACUUUAAAACACCUUUCUAAACCUUUGUAAAUCAUUUUAAAGCUUUUUACAAUAGUUUUACAAGAUUUACAAUCGUUUUUUAAGCAUAAGUAAGUGGCAUUGAAUGAUUUACAAGGGAUUUUAACAGCUUAUAAAAGAGUAAAACAUCAUUUACAAUCGUUUUUAAAGCAUAAGUAAGUGGCAUAAAAUGAUUUAAAAGGGAUUUUAAAACUAUUUGUAUGGUUUACAAUCGUUUUAAAGCAUAAGUAAGUGACAUUGAAUGAUUUACAAGGGAUUUUAAAAGGGGUUAAAAUGAUUUACAAUCGUUUUUAAAGCAUAAGUAAGUGUCAAAAAAUGAUUUACAAGGGAUUUUAAACCUUUGUAAAUCCUUUUAAAACUCUUAUAAAGUCUUUACAAGCAUUUUUUAACUCUUAGAAAAAGAAUUGUAAGUAUUUAAAACAUUUAUAACUCUUUUUGAACCAUUUUAAAUCUCUUGUGAACCUUUACAAAACGUUUUAAAAAGAUUUACAAGAGUUUAUAAAAGUUUUUCUUAUAAAUUCUUUUAAAAUCUUUUAAAAACUCUUGUACAUCUUUUAAAACCCUUUAAAAAUCCCUUGUAAAUCUUUUAAAACACUUUUAAACCCUUUAAAAACCUUUAAAAAACUCUUAUAAGUCUUUUAAAGCCCUUUAAAAUCCCUUGUAAAUCUUUUAAAACCCUUUUAAAAUCCCUUGUAAAUCUUUUAAACUUUUUAAAAAUCUCUUGUAAAUCUUUUAAAAUCCCUUGUAAAUCUAUUUCCCGCAAAAAAAA